UCCUGGUGACUCAGACAGUAAAGAAUCUGCCUGCAAUGCAGAAGACCUGGGUUCAGUCCCUGGAUCAGGAA
Molecule: transfer RNA, 71 nt
Filed under: Bos taurus (domestic cattle)
Lineage: Eukaryota; Metazoa; Chordata; Mammalia; Artiodactyla; Bovidae
Also listed under: 2 other names
Rfam family: tRNA
About the family: Transfer RNA (tRNA) molecules are approximately 80 nucleotides in length.
Source: Rfam by way of RNAcentral